UACGGAGGGUGCAAGCGUUAUCCGGAUUCACUGGGUUUAAAGGGUGCGUAGGCGGGCUUAUAAGUCAGUGGUGAAAGCCCGGAGCUUAACUUCGGAACUGCCAUUGAUACUGUAAGUCUUGAGUACACUUGAGGUGGGCGGAAUACAUCAUGUAGUGGUGAAAUACUUAGAUAUGAUGUAGAACACCGAUUGCGAAGGCAGCUCACUAAAUUGUAACUGACACUGAGGCACGAAAGCGUGGGGAUCAAACAGG
This 253-nucleotide ribosomal RNA is filed under the name uncultured bacterium. RNAcentral's name for it is "partial 16S ribosomal RNA". It matches the Rfam family "Bacterial small subunit ribosomal RNA", at positions 524 to 776 of the family's 1533-position model. The record is from RNAcentral.